RNAcentral lists this ribosomal RNA (423 nucleotides) under uncultured Dermacoccus sp. Its description in RNAcentral is "bacterial SSU rRNA". It matches the Rfam family "Bacterial small subunit ribosomal RNA", at positions 1 to 390 of the family's 1533-position model. Lineage: Bacteria; Bacillati; Actinomycetota; Actinomycetes; Micrococcales; Dermacoccaceae. The record is from RNAcentral.
CGCGAUGCAUCUAGAUUGGAUCCGCGGCCGCAGAGUUUGAUCCUGGCUCAGGAUGAACGCUGGCGGCGUGCUUAACACAUGCAAGUCGAACGGACCAUGAUGGCUUUUGUUGUUGUGGUUAGUGGCGAACGGGUGAGUAACACGUGAGUAACCUGCCCUCUUCUUUGGGAUAACUGCCUGAAAGGGUGGCUAAUACUGAUUAUUCUGCUGAUUCCGCAUGGUUUUGGUUGGAAAGAUUUUUUUGGUGGGGGAUGGACUCGCGGCCUAUCAGCUUGUUGGUGAGGUAGUGGCUUACCAAGGCUUUGACGGGUAGCCGGCCUGAGAGGGCGACCGGCCACACUGGGACUGAGAUACGGGCCCAGACUCCCUACGGGGAGGCAGCAGUUGGGGAAUUAUUGCACAAUGGGGCGGAGGCCUGAUGCA